CCGUACUUUCGGCGGGCGGAGCGCCACGACCGGUUCGUCGGCGGCGAGAAACUCCCGGGCAAGGUGACCUUCGUCUCGGCGCAGGAGCAUACAGGCCCGGUGAGCGUCGGCCCGUCGGUGGACCGAGGAAGACCGUCGCGGAGCGGCGUCGACCGUUCGUCGUGUGUUGGCGUUCGACUCGGGGGGACUGGUUCCAGUGCCCUCGGACCGCGCCGGCGCAGCGGCGGGCGCGCACGGCGUCGCGCCUGGGGUCGGUGGCGAAACGGCCGGCAACCUGUCCGACCCGUCUUGAAACACGGACCAAGGAGUCUAACAUGUGCGCGAGUCGUUGGGCGCUACGAAACCCGAAGGCGCAAUGAAAGUGAAGGCCCGGUCUCCGGCCGGCCUGGGUGGGAUCCCGGCGGUCUCGGCCGUCGGGCGCACCACCGGCCCGUCUCGUUCGUUACGUCGAGGAGGCGGAGCAAGAGCGUACACGUUGGGACCCGAAAGAUGGUGAACUAUGCCCGAGUAGGACGAAGCCAGAGGAAACUCUGGUGGAGGUCCGCAGCGAUUCUGACGUGCAAAUCGAUCGUCAAACUUGGGUAUAGGGGCGAAAGACUAAUCGAACCAUAUAGUAGCUGGUUNCUGUCGAAGUUUCCCUCAGGAUAGCUGGCGCUCGUCGUGAGCAGUUUUAUCCGGUAAAGCGAAUGACUGGAGGCCUUGGG
RNAcentral lists this ribosomal RNA (704 nucleotides) under Eiseniella tetraedra. Its description in RNAcentral is "partial large subunit ribosomal RNA". The stretch from base 300 to 704 matches the Rfam family "Eukaryotic large subunit ribosomal RNA", at positions 665 to 1034 of the family's 3401-position model. Lineage: Eukaryota; Metazoa; Annelida; Clitellata; Crassiclitellata; Lumbricidae. The record is from RNAcentral.